CCAAUAGCGUAUAUUAAAGUUGUUGUGGUUAAAAAGCUCGUAGUUGAACCUUGGGCCUGGCUGGCCGGUCCGCCUCACCGCGUGUACUGGUCCGGCCGGGCCUUUCCCUCUGUGGAACCCCAUGCCCUUCACUGGGCGUGGCGGGGAAACAGGACUUUUACUUUGAAAAAAUUAGAGUGCUCCAGGCAGGCCUAUGCUCGAAUACAUUAGCAUGGAAUAAUAGAAUAGGACGUGCGGUUCUAUUUUGUUGGUUUCUAGGACCGCCGUAAUGAUUAAUAGGGACAGUCGGGGGCAUCAGUAUUCAAUUGUCAGAGGUGAAAUUCUUGGAUUUAUUGAAGACUAACUACUGCGAAAGCAUUUGCCAAGGAUGUUUUCAUUAAUCAGGAACGAAAGUUAGGGGAUCGAAGACGAUCAGAUACCGUCGUAGUCUUAACCAUAAACUAUGCCGACUAGGGAUCGGACGAUGUUACUUAUUGACUCGUUCGGCACCUUACGAGAAAACAAGUGUUUGGGUUC
RNAcentral lists this unclassified non-coding RNA (516 nucleotides) under uncultured Glomeromycotina. RNAcentral describes it as "SSU rRNA". It matches the Rfam family "Eukaryotic small subunit ribosomal RNA", at positions 591 to 1114 of the family's 1831-position model. Lineage: Eukaryota; Fungi; Glomeromycota. The record is from RNAcentral.